Molecule: transfer RNA, 73 nt
Filed under: Paramuricea clavata
Lineage: Eukaryota; Metazoa; Cnidaria; Anthozoa; Malacalcyonacea; Plexauridae
Rfam family: tRNA
About the family: Transfer RNA (tRNA) molecules are approximately 80 nucleotides in length.
Source: Rfam by way of RNAcentral
GACCGCGUAGCUCAGUUGGAAGAGCAUUGGGCUGGUAUUCCAAAGGUCGUAGGUUCGAAUCCCACCAUGGCCG